AUUGAACGCUGGCGGCAUGCUUUACACAUGCAAGUCGAACGGUAACAGGCCUUCGGGUGCUGACGAGUGGCGAACGGGUGAGUAAUGCAUCGGAACGUGCCCAGAGGUGGGGGAUAACGCAGCGAAAGCUGUGCUAAUACCGCAUGUGAUCUGAGGAUGAAAGCGGGGGACCAGGCAGCAAUGUUUGGCCUCGCGCCUUUGGAGCGGCCGAUGUCAGAUUAGGUAGUUGGUGGGGUAAAGGCCUACCAAGCCGACGAUCUGUAGCUGGUCUGAGAGGACGACCAGCCACACUGGGACUGAGACACGGCCCAGACUCCUACGGGAGGCAGCAGUGGGGAAUUUGGGACAAUGGGCGCAAGCCUGAUCCAGCAAUGCCGCGUGCGGGAAGAAGGCCUUCGGGUUGUAAACCGCUUUUGUACGGAACGAAAAUGCUCUGGCUAAUACCUGGGGCUGAUGACGGUACCGUAAGAAUAAGCACCGGCUAACUACGU
This 491-nucleotide ribosomal RNA is filed under the name uncultured bacterium. RNAcentral's name for it is "partial 16S ribosomal RNA". It matches the Rfam family "Bacterial small subunit ribosomal RNA", at positions 30 to 506 of the family's 1533-position model. The record is from RNAcentral.